CCUACGGGGGGCAGCAGUAGGGAAUCUUUCACAAUGGGCGAAAGCCUGAUGGAGCAACGCCGCGUGCAGGAUGAAGGCCUUCGGGUUGUAAACUGCUUUUAUAAGCGAGAAAUAUGAUGGUAACUUAUGAAUAAGGAUCGGCUAACUACGUGCCAGCAGCCGCGGUCAUACGUAGGAUCCGAGCAUUAUCCGGAGUGACUGGGUGUAAAGAGUUGCGUAGGUGGCAUAAUAAGUAGCUAGUGAAAUCGGGUGGCUCAACCAUUCAGACUAUUAGCUAAACUGUUAAGCUCGAGACCGUUAGGGGUAACUGGAAUUGCUAGUGUAGGAGUGAAAUCCGUAGAUAUUAGAAAGAACACCAAUAGCGUAGGCAGGUUACUGGGACGGUUCUGACACUAAGGCACGAAAGCGUAGGGAGCAAACGGGAUUAGAUACCCGGGUAGUC
RNAcentral lists this ribosomal RNA (442 nucleotides) under uncultured bacterium. RNAcentral describes it as "partial 16S ribosomal RNA". It matches the Rfam family "Bacterial small subunit ribosomal RNA", at positions 338 to 795 of the family's 1533-position model. The record is from RNAcentral.